This 429-nucleotide ribosomal RNA is filed under the name Chloroflexota bacterium. RNAcentral describes it as "Chloroflexi bacterium partial 16S ribosomal RNA". It matches the Rfam family "Bacterial small subunit ribosomal RNA", at positions 355 to 776 of the family's 1533-position model. Lineage: Bacteria; Bacillati; Chloroflexota. The record is from RNAcentral.
UGGGGAAUAUUGCACAAUGGGCGCAAGCCUGAUGCAGCCAUGCCGCGUGUGUGAAGAAGGCCUUCGGGUUGUAAAGUACUUUCAGCGGGGAGGAAGGGAGUAAAGUUAAUACCUUUGCUCAUUGACGUUACCCGCAGAAGAAGCACCGGCUAACUCCGUGCCAGCAGCCGCGGUAUUACGGAGGGUGCAAGCGUUAAUCGGAAUUACUGGGCGUAAAGCGCACGCAGGCGGUUUGUUAAGUCAGAUGUGAAAUCCCCGGGCUCAACCUGGGAACUGCAUCUGAUACUGGCAAGCUUGAGUCUCGUAGAGGGGGGUAGAAUUCCAGGUGUAGCGGUGAAAUGCGUAGAGAUCUGGAGGAAUACCGGUGGCGAAGGCGGCCCCCUGGACGAAGACUGACGCUCAGGUGCGAAAGCGUGGGGAGCAAACAGG